RNAcentral lists this ribosomal RNA (822 nucleotides) under Triticum aestivum (bread wheat). RNAcentral describes it as "partial small subunit ribosomal RNA". The record is from RNAcentral. Lineage: Eukaryota; Viridiplantae; Streptophyta; Magnoliopsida; Poales; Poaceae.
AUGCAGUGCUACACUACACAGCGUAACAGCAAAUUGCGGAUCCGACUAUUCAACAUGCAGCAAUGUUGUAAACCAACCUCGUCAACACAAGAGAAGCAACAAAAAGUUCACGCCAUCUCAUCUGCACACCUUGCAGAGGCAGACGACCAAGAUGACCACGAACGCCAAGCAGGACAGGCCAAUGGCGAGCCCGAGAACCACCGCGCUAGGGCCGCCACGAGCGUCGGCGUCGCCGUCCGCGUCGCCAUCACUGCCGCCGUCGUCGUAGUCCGCCGCGCUCUUCUCCGACUGCGCCGUCGCCGGGGGAGCCGUGACCGGGAACCCGUACUUGUCGCACGGCGCCACCCCCACGGCGACCUCGGCGGAGAGCACCGACCUGUUGUAGCACAGCUUGCCAUUGCCGGCCGCCCUGAACACCCGCAGCCGCGACAAGAACCUGGCGCUGAACGGCACCACGCCGUCGAAGUCGUUGUUCUCCAGGUUGAGCUCCUUGAGGCCCCUCAUCUCGGACAAGAACGGCGGUAUGCUCCCGUUGAGCCGGUUGGAGCCCAGGUUGAGCACCUCCAGCUCGGGCAGCGUGGAGACGGUCUCCGGGAUGCCGCCGGAGAGGGAGUUGUUGGACAGGUCCACGGUGGUGAGCCAAAUGAGGUCACCGAUGUGUGUGGGGAUCUGCCCUUUGAGAACGUUGGAACUGAGGUUCAGGUGGGUGAUGCUGCCAAGGUGGGUGAUGGUGUCGGGAAUGGCGCCGGCGAUGCGGUUGCCGGAGAGGUCGAGGUGCGUCAGGUUGGGGCAGUGCCAGUGGUGCGGGAGGAAGCCGGAUAG